This 433-nucleotide ribosomal RNA is filed under the name uncultured bacterium. RNAcentral describes it as "partial 16S ribosomal RNA". It matches the Rfam family "Bacterial small subunit ribosomal RNA", at positions 29 to 507 of the family's 1533-position model. The record is from RNAcentral.
AACGAACGCUGGCGGCAUGCCUAAUACAUGCAAGUCGAGCGAGAUCUUCGGAUCUAGUGGCGCACGGGUGCGUAACGCGUGGGAAUCUGCCCUUGGGUUCGGAAUAACUUCUGGAAACGGAAGCUAAUACCGGAUGAUGACGUAAGUCCAAAGAUUUAUCGCCCAAGGAUGAGCCCGCGUAGGAUUAGGUAGUUGGUGAGGUAAAGGCUCACCAAGCCGACGAUCCUUAGCUGGUCUGAGAGGAUGAUCAGCCACACUGGGACUGAGACACGGCCCAGACUCCUACGGGAGGCAGCAGUAGGGAAUAUUGGACAAUGGGCGAAAGCCUGAUCCAGCAAUGCCGCGUGAGUGAUGAAGGCCUUAGGGUUGUAAAGCUCUUUUACCCGGGAUGAUAAUGACAGUACCGGGAGAAUAAGCUCCGGCUAACUCCGUG